Molecule: ribosomal RNA, 253 nt
Filed under: uncultured bacterium
Lineage: Bacteria
Description: partial 16S ribosomal RNA
Rfam family: Bacterial small subunit ribosomal RNA
Source: RNAcentral
UACGUAGGGGGCAAGCGUUAUCCGGAUUUACUGGGUGUAAAGGGGGCGCAGACGGCGCGGCAAGUCCGGAGUGAAAUCCCAGGGCCCAACCCUGGGGCUGCUCUGGAAACUGCCGGGCUGGAGUGCUGGAGGGGCAGGCGGAAUUCCUAGUGUAGCGGUGAAAUGCGUAGAUAUUAGGAGGAACACCGGCGGCGAAGGCGGCCUGCUGGACCGUAACUGACGUUGAGGCUCGAAAGUGUGGGGAGCAAACAGG